AUAAACAGGAGUUGACUCUCUAAGACAGACACCAGUUUGGCUUCACUUGACUGGAUUCAGGAUUCUUUAUUUCUGGACUCCAGUGAUCUGCCUCCUUACAUAACCUUCCUGGAUAGUUUCUGCAUCUCUUCGAAAUCAGAUCAUCUCCUUAUCCAGCUGCAUCAUGUCAACUAAUCUAGUUUUAAGUACCUAUGAUGUCCUGUGGCAAGACAACCAGGAUGUUGCCGAGCAGUCCCUUAAGCAGCCAUUUCUGCAGCACAUGCAGUCUGGGGACCUGCAGGCUGAUGACUAUAUGAAGUUCAUGAUCCAGGACAUCAACUACUUGGUGAAGGUCACAGAGAUGCUGGAGGAGAUGUCUAAGAGAAACAUGGAAAAUGACAUCUAUUUGUUCAUGGUGGACAGAUACAAGAGCUACAAGAAAUAUGCAGACGCAA
Long non-coding RNA from Cyprinodon variegatus (sheepshead minnow), 434 nucleotides. RefSeq lists it as uncharacterized. Lineage: Eukaryota; Metazoa; Chordata; Actinopteri; Cyprinodontiformes; Cyprinodontidae. The record is from RefSeq and is a predicted model, not a curated record. The transcript has 3 exons.